Long non-coding RNA from Microplitis demolitor, 243 nucleotides. RefSeq lists it as uncharacterized. The record is from RefSeq and is a predicted model, not a curated record. The transcript has 3 exons. NCBI's taxonomy places the organism in Eukaryota, Metazoa, Arthropoda, Insecta, Hymenoptera, Braconidae.
CUGGAUAUUAGAUACAAUCACAAUCACACGAUGAUAAUCGAGAGUUCUCGAGGAUAAAAACCCGCCAAGGACGAAAGAUUACGAUUGGCCAUCAUAAAUUUAAAAUGAUACGAGAAGCGACGGACAUCUGACUUUUUCGGUAACAAAAAUAUUUUGACAUCCAUUUGCUCAGUGGGCCGAUUACAGACAAAAAAUAUAUGAAACUUUCAUAAAUUCAAAUAAUUAAAUAUGAUAAACAAUUUU